CGGGAUGGCAUUCUGAGAGACCAGGACAGUCUCCAGCAGUGGGCCUAGGGGAACCUUUUGAAGUUAAACAAAGCCAAGUGCAAGGUCUUGCACCCGGGUUGUGGCAACCUCCACUACCACUACAAGCUGGGCAAUGUAAGGACAGAGCACAGCCCUGCCGAAAAGGAACUGAGGGUACUGGUGGGUGGCAGCUGUACAUGAGUCAACAGUGUGCCCUCACAGCCCAGAAAUUCAACCGUUUCCUGGGCUGUCGGAGAGUUGGACAACAUUACCUUUAAAGGAUCCCUUCCAAAGUAAAAGAUGCUAUGAUUCUAACCUGGAUGGCCAGUGCUACAUGAAAAAAGAAAAAAAAAAAAAAUACAGAGUGGGAGAAAGAUAAACAAUCACAAUAUAAGGAGUUUAAUGACUGAGCAGCAACUGGGUGGUUAUUUAGCUGGGCUAAGUUCUACACAGUUCUGGUGAGAUCAUUUUACCACGAAACCUAGAAGUGGACCAUGCUAGUUAUUGUCCAUUGCACCUGUUUUCAGGAUGACAUCUUUUAGCCACAACUCUUGUAAUGUAACUGAUCUCUCACCUCUUCUAGGCUAGGAACUCCAGCUUCUGCUCCUUUUUGUCUUAAAGGUCAGGCUCAGGCGUGAACAUUGUGACUUAGUACUUCAGAGAUGGCUUGAGAAAAGGAAAAGGACUGAGGUGUAGGACUCUGUACUUGCCCUUGUUGAGCCUCAGGAAGUUCCUCUCCACUCAACUUUCCAGCCUGUCCAGAUCUUGCUGAACAGCCUUCUGAUAAACUUGCUGAGGGAUAGAGUGCAUCCUCAGCAAAUUUGAUUUACGUCUUUCAUGUGCAGAAAUGACUCCUAAGGAUCAAAGUUCAGAUGAACUGAGACUCCUAGACACUUAAGUAUGACAUCCAGCUGCCUUUGGAGCUAUUCAGAAGCCAACUUGUCUUCAGCACUGAGGUAUCAUGCUCCACAUCCCAGCAAGUAAAGGGCAUGAUAAUGCAAGGUUCCCAAUACCUUGAAUUUUGGCAUGGUGUGGAGUUUUAAGGGCUCAGUAUUUUAUAAAGACAAAGUAAAAUAGUUCUUUUCUUCUUCACCCUGCUGAGGUGCUAAAGUCAGCUUGCAAGCAGAUGAAAAAAAAUUGAUUUCCUCUCUACUCG
Molecule: long non-coding RNA, 1156 nt
Filed under: Gallus gallus (chicken)
Lineage: Eukaryota; Metazoa; Chordata; Aves; Galliformes; Phasianidae
Description: long non-coding RNA NONGGAT003828
Source: RNAcentral